Molecule: long non-coding RNA, 4312 nt
Organism: Felis catus (domestic cat)
Lineage: Eukaryota; Metazoa; Chordata; Mammalia; Carnivora; Felidae
Exons: 3
Source: RefSeq, a predicted model, not a curated record
UAGAGUGCCCCCUGCAGGCCAAGGCCAGCUGAUACAAGGCAGGCUGCGCAUGUGCGAACGGCGCAGGUCGGGAGAGUCAGGCACCUGGAGCAGGACAGUAUCAGGAGAGGCCUGAUGACCGGAGAGGGCUGUUGGGAGUAUCUGGUGUUUGCCUAAUUUCAAGCCUUAACCUUCACAAGUGUGCACGUUCCCCCUGAAGGCAGAGCUGGAAGAAUCUGGACUGAUUCAGGGUUGGAUUGUGCAAGCUGGCCCGAGUAUCCUGCAAUAAGAAACACCUGGGAGUUUGAGUGUUGGUGGAGCCUUGGACCCCAGCAAACAGCAGAGCUAGAGGAAUCUGGAAUGCCUGAUCAGGGUUGGAUGGGGUAGACCGGCUGAGGUAGCUUCCGAUAAGAGAUCCCUGGGAUCCUUGAUUGCUGCAGAAAUCUAGGACCCCAGCAAACAGUAUACCUGAACUAAAUCUGGACUUUAUCCUUUCACCUCCCCUUGCCUGGAAGAAUAGUAUGAUUAAGAGAAGAUGGAAUAAGCAUCACUGAAAGGGUUGUUAAAAAUAGAGCCAGGGGGCGCCUGGGUGGCUCAGUCAGUUAAGCGGCCAACUUCGGCUCAGGUCAUGAUCUCGCGGUCCGUGAGUUCGAGCCCCGCGUCGGGCUCUGUGCUGACAGCUCAGAGCCUGGAGCCUGUUUCAGAUUCUGUGUCUCCCUCGCUCUGACCCUCCCCCGUUCAUGCUCUGUCUCUGUCUCAAAAAUAAAUAAACGUUAAAAAAAAAAUUAAAAAAAAAAUAGAGCCAGUGGGACAUCGAGGAAUUAAGACUAUGUGUCUUUGGUCUCAAAUUCUCAGCUAAAAGUCAAAAUUUGUUGCAUGUUUAAAUGGACUUCCUACUUAAUACUAGCUCUAGCAACCCAUCACCUAUAGAUUACUGGAAUUGUAGCUAUACCGGCACCAAUCAAUUAAGCCUAUCAUUAAGGAUUACUUACGAAAAGGCUUAAUUUGUCCCCUGUAUUAGUUGCUGUAACACCCCUAUCCUCCCUGUCUAUAGACCACAUGGGAGGUGAUGGAGGUUUGUAUGGGUCCUCAGAGAAAUCAAUAUUAUUAUCCCUUGGCACCCUGUAGUACCGAGCCCUCACACCUUGCUCAUAGCCACUCCUUUAAUAGCAAUACCUUUACUAUUACAGACAUUUGCAGUGCCUUCUUUAGCAUACCUGUUGAUCCUGAAAGUCAAUUCUUGUUUACCUUCACCUGGGAAGGACAACAAUAUGCAUGGACUGUCAUGCCACAGGGAUAAACUGAAAGCCCUGCUUAUUUUUCUCAAAUGCUAAAAGUAGACAUUUCAUAGAAAUCUCUGAAGGCUCUCCCCUGUUACAAUAUGUCCUCUUAUGUUCUCCUUCCCAAGAGGCCUAUACUAAAUACAACCUUCAUCACUGGCUAAAAAGGGACAUAAGGUGUCUAAAGAAUAAUUACAAUUUUGUUUUGCCCUGGGUUAAAUACUUGGGACACCUUAUUUCAAAUCAAGUGUUGCUCCCUGAUCCAGCUGGAGUCCAGGGAAUAUUGUCCUUCCCCCCCUCAAAAACCGAAUACCAACUACAGGGUUUUGGGGGCUUAGCUGGAUACUGUAGAAACUGGGAACCCAACUUUUUAGCCUUGGCUUAACGACUUUAUUCCCUCAACUCCAACCAACCUGAUGCCCUUACGUGGAACAAAGAAAGUCAAGAAGUCCUCAUGAAACUAAAAGCCCCUCGAAUCCACCAGUUUUGGAAUGCCCUUGCCAUUCUAACCCAGUGACAUGGGGACAAACACAGGCCUGUUGGCUAUUAUAGCCAACAGUUGGAUCCUGUAGCCAAUGGACUGCCACCCUGCAUGAAAGCCAAAGCUGUAGGUGCUGAAUUACUUGGAGAAGAAGUCACCAAGGGUUCCCCAUUAUGUUCCCCCUUUCUCAAUUCUUAUCCUACUCAACAUUUAUCUUCUAGCAGAUUAAACUCUUGUAAAGUUCUCUAUCACCCCCAAAUGUUACUGUCACAUGCUAUAAUUCCUUAAAUCCUGCUACCCGGCUGCCUUUACCCUCUGCUGAAACUCCUAGGACUGUAUCUAACAGACUUCUCAUACCACAAUCAGAUUUACAGGAAAUGCCAUUUGAAAAUGCAGACAGUCUAGUUUACUGAUGGCUCUUAAAAAACUAUCAAGCUGGCUUUGAGGUUGUCUCCUUAACUGAAAACACUGAAGCAGACCUAUCACAGUCUGCUUAGCUCAUCAGCUAAGUCAUCUUAGCUCAACAAGCUGAAUCAUUUGCCUUAAUCCAAGCCUGCCUUUUGGCAGAAGGACAGACCAUUAACAUUUACACCAAUCGUUGCUGUGCUGUUGGUGUAGCACAUGUUUUGGUAUGUUCUGGGAACAAAGAGGGUUUUAACUUCUAUUGGGCAACAGAUUAAAAAUAGUUCUUAUGUCUUAGAACUGUUAUAUUGCUAUUUCAAGGGCCUACGUCUUUGGCUAUUAUGAAAAUCCUGGCUAUUCAAUGGCAAACACCAAGGAAACAAAAGGGAAUCAUUUGGCUGGUGCAGCUGCCAAACAGGCUGCCUUUAAAAAAUUUAAGCCAUUUUUUGAAUUCCCACUUGCUACUGACUUUAACAAAAAAUCUUAAAUACUUAUAACACCCAAGAAUUUGCCUCAGGAAGGGAUCAAAAAAACUUGGUCUGACCAAGGCUGCCAAUUUGACUCUCAAUGAAAUAUUUGGUAUGGGUCGAAUGAUAGACCAGUCCUCUCUGAUUAUGUCCAGAAACAAAUUUUUAAUUAUAUUUAUGAAUUUAACUCAUUGGAAUACUGACAAGGUGGUCUUUGGGGAAAGCAAUACUUUUGGAAACCAUUUUCAAAAGUAUCCUCUCAAACUUAUGAAAAAUGUCAGAUUUGCCCUAAACAUACCCCCGGAAAACAUCUUCAUAGUUCAAAAGGACAUUUUCCCUCCCGGUCUCUUUGAGAUAUGGCAAUUGGAUCUUAUCUAGCUGCCACCAUCUCAGCAAUAUAAAUAUGUUUUCGUAAUGGUUUGUAUAUUUUCUCACUGGGUAGAAGCCUCUCCUUGCCACAGAGCUAUAGCCUUAGCAGUAGGAAAAAUGUCACUAGAAAAGAUUAUUCCAAAUUGGGGAAUGCCCCCAGAACUUCAUAGUGACUGAGGAAUCCAUUUCACUGGACAGAUCUUAUAGGUCAUUUGCCACAUUUGACCACUUAUGCAACAUUUUGAGUGUGCCCAUCAUCCUCAAUCAUCCGGCCUUGUAGAAUGUACCAAGGGCAUUAUAAAAAUUCAGUUGGCAAAACUUAUGGAAUCUUUCCACCUGCCAUGGCCAAGAGCUCUUCCCUUGGGACUAUUGACUCUUAGAUCCAUUCCCUAUGGGUGACAUAACUCUCUCCCUUUGAAAUAAUAUUUGGAAGAGCAAUGAGAAUAGAUCAAGGUGUAUGUGAACCCAGAUUACCUGAAGGUGAGAUGAUGAUUUACUGUAAGGGAUUAAUUCAGACCCUAUAAGGAAAUGAAAAAUUAGUAGAACAGUCUUUCUGCAGCAUGCUCCAGGAGAUGAAGACCUCAAACAUCAUGGCCUUCAACCCAGAGACAUGGUUUAUUGGAAAAGACACCUCCAUAAAGAUUCCCUCCAGCAAGAUGUGGAGGAUCAUACCAGCUAUUAUUGACUAAUCCUUAUGCUGCUAAAUUAGAAGACAUAGACUCAUGGAUAUAUGUUUCCUAUUUUAAAAAGUCUUCAACAUCUAACUGGGCUACCCACCAGAGACCUUAAACUAACCCUUUCUUGGAAAAAGAAGAUGAUGUCUGUGUAGACUGCUCUCCAAAGACUAAGGACCAGGCCACUAUUAUGUUAACAAGGUCCAUCACACCAAUUCUCAUGAGGCUUAUGAGUUUAUUAAUAUUUCUCUUCCUUCUCAUCACCAUUUUCAAUUGGAAGAACAAUGCUAUAAUUCAUAUGUCUCAAUCCCUUGCUACUUCUGAAACCUUUACCUACAGGGUCCUUUACUGAUAAUGAUUAUCUCAUAAUGUUACCUAUAUACAGUUUCUCCAUGGUCCCAAAUAUUUCCAUUAGUUACUACAAAACACUGUCUCUAACACUUAUUUUGUCAGGAUAUUCUUGCCUCAAGGAAAGCCUCCAUGUUUCAUGCUUAUUCUCCCAAACUAGAGACAACCUUGAAUGUAAACUUGGUACAGCCAAUGUGGAAAACAGUAUGGAGGUUCCUUAAAAAGUUAAAAAUAGAACUACCUAUGAUCCCAUAAUCGCACUACUGGGUAUUUACCCAAAGACUACAAAAACAUUAAUUCAAAGGGAUAUAA